Long non-coding RNA from Labrus mixtus (cuckoo wrasse), 1460 nucleotides. RefSeq lists it as uncharacterized. The record is from RefSeq and is a predicted model, not a curated record. The transcript is spliced from 2 exons. NCBI's taxonomy places the organism in Eukaryota, Metazoa, Chordata, Actinopteri, Labriformes, Labridae.
UUUGCUUACGGAUGUUGCUGCACACUAUUCUAAAAUACCUGCAACCUUUCCUCAUAGUCAGAGCUCAUAUAUAUAUAUAUAUAUACAUAUAUAUAUAUGAAAUAUUUUCGAGGCAAAUAUUUUUCAUUAGGAAUGUGAAAAACAUUAUAGAGCAUGAGGAUAUAGGCUACAUUGUCAUACUGAAUUAUUUAAAUACAUUUUAUAUAAAAGUUGAAUUUGUUCGGAAGUAAAAGUAAAUCAGUGUAAAUAAUACCAAGUAUCUUUUGAAAUGCUGAGAUUCCAUCUACGUGAUUUGGUUUUCAUAUCCGUAUACAUUCCCUGGAUAUCUGCUCUGAGGCCACCAUGGAGCUUGUUUUUGAGAGGCUGCAACUUGACUCUAAUGUGCUGUGAAUGAGAGACCUGAGCUGGGAUUAAGACCGCCGCGGCUGGCCGGGCCCCACAGCCCGAUGUGCACAUGGAGAUCUAGGGGUUCCUUGGUGGCACAUGUGAAACACAACCUUAAAAUAUCACAGACAUAAAGACUGUGCAAGCACCAACUAACGCCUUGCGAGUGUACCAAAACAGGAAAAAGCAUGUAGCCGUUUUGCUAGCCAGAGUCCAGCUCACAGGCCCUUUUGUUUGGAUAAAUUGCAGGGGCACAAACAAGCCGAGUGCCUCUGCGACCACACGCUCCGCCUCUCAGUCAAUCCAGACAAAUUCUACGAGUUGUGCUGAAGCUUUUAAGCCGUAAUUGAGCACAGGAUGCCCAGGAAAACCAAAGCCGGUUUUGCAUAGACCUGCGUUUUUAUAGCUGCUAUAGUAUUCUGCUGUGCCUUUUUUUCCUCCCCGGCCAGACAGACACCACAAAACUGUUCAAGCGUGAUGGGAAGUCGCCACCUACACGGACUCAAAGUCAGCAGCUGAGGAUUUUCAACAUCAUAGAAACUAAUCAUGUUUGUUACAAGCUAAGGUGACAGAGAUGUUGGCUCGCAGAGACGGCGACGACAAGAGGGCUCAAGCGGGACCACACAGGGGCCAAGCGGGGGAAACCGACCAACUCCACGGUCAAUGGGAGUCCCUCUGACUGACUCACAAUGCUGGAUCAGCCUGUGGAGGGUGUCCUGGGAGACAAGGCGUCAUCAUCAGAGGGCCUGCAUGGGACAAAAGGACAUAAACUGGACUUCAGUGGGGGAGAAAUGAAAUUUUACAAUGGAAACAAACACAGAGGGGAAAACAGAGCGAGAGAAAGAGUCCCAGUUAAAUUAUAAAGAAGGCAAAGUUUACUGUCUGGAAAAGGAACCUGUGUAAAAAUUCAAUUCUGCGACAGAAGAAGAUAGUGUCUUCAUUGCGCGUUUGCAUUUGAAGAAUUGAGAGACUGUAUAACCAUAAAAACAGAACACAAUUAGAAGAUUAGAGUUUACAUUUAACUCGCUAGUUGUGUUUUUAACUCUAAACAUAAAUACAGACAAUAGUUAGCUUGA